RNAcentral lists this ribosomal RNA (253 nucleotides) under uncultured bacterium. Its description in RNAcentral is "partial 16S ribosomal RNA". It matches the Rfam family "Bacterial small subunit ribosomal RNA", at positions 524 to 776 of the family's 1533-position model. The record is from RNAcentral.
UACGGAGGGUGCAAGCGUUAAUCGGAAUUACUGGGCGUAAAGCGCGCGUAGGCGGCUCGAUCAGUCGGGUGUGAAAUCCCUGGGCUCAACCUGGGAACUGCAUUCGAUACUGUCGAGCUAGAGUGUGGGAGAGGGUAGUGGAAUUCCCGGUGUAGCGGUGAAAUGCGUAGAUAUUGGGAGGAACAUCAGUGGCGAAGGCGACUGCCUGGCCCAACACUGACGCUGAGGUGCGAAAGCGUGGGUAGCAAACAGG